GUCCCUAUAGUCUAGUGGUUAUGACGUCACAUUGUGGCUGUGGAGGCGCCUGUUCGAUUCAGGCUAGGGACA
Cryptococcus neoformans is the source of this 72-nucleotide transfer RNA. It matches the Rfam family "tRNA". From Rfam's summary of the family: Transfer RNA (tRNA) molecules are approximately 80 nucleotides in length. Their secondary structure includes four short double-helical elements and three loops (D, anti-codon, and T loops). The record is from Rfam. NCBI's taxonomy places the organism in Eukaryota, Fungi, Basidiomycota, Tremellomycetes, Tremellales, Cryptococcaceae.